RNAcentral lists this ribosomal RNA (3022 nucleotides) under hot springs metagenome. Its description in RNAcentral is "bacterial LSU rRNA". It matches the Rfam family "Bacterial large subunit ribosomal RNA". The record is from RNAcentral.
UUACAGGCUAAGGGUGGAUGCCUUGGGAGGAGGUGGCGAUGAAGGACGCGCCUAGGCUGCGAUAAGCCAGGGGGAGGUGCCUAGGAACCUGUGAUCCCUGGAUUUCCGAAUGGGGUAACCCAUCCUGGGAGAACCCAGGAUAUCCAGAGGGUUAGCAUCCUCUGGAGGCGUACCCGGGGAAGUGAAACAUCUCAGUACCCGGAGGAAAAGAUACCAAUCGGUAUUCCCUGAGUAGCGGCGAGCGAAAAGGGAAAAGCCUAAACCUAAAUGCAUUUUUGCAUUUAGGGGUUAGAGGAAUAAGGCGUUCCUCUUUUUAAAUCUUUUAGAUCCUGGUGCAUGGGAUCUAAGAUUUAAAAAGAGGAGGUGAGGUUACAAAAGAGGUUUCUAGCCGAAUGUCCCUGGAAAGGGCAGCCACAGAGGGUGAAAGCCCCGUAGGCAAAAGAAACCUCUCCUCACUGCCUUAUUUCCUAAGUACCUCGAGGAAUGAUAACCUUGAGGGAAGUUGCCUGAACCAACAGGCAAGGCUAAAUACACCUCCUCACCGAUAGUGCAUUAGUACCGCGAGGGAAAGGUGAAAAGCAGGCCGAGAGGCCGGUGAAAUAGAACCUGAAACCCUUAGCCUACAAAGAGUCGGAGCCCGAUCAAGCAUUUGCUUGACGGGUGACGGCGUGCCUAUUGAAGAAUGAGCCGGCGAGUUCGAGGCAUUCGCUUGGUUAAGGCCGAUUAAGGCCGAAGCCAUAGGGAAACCGAGUGGUCUUAAUAGGGCCACCUAAGGUGGAUGCCUCGAGACCCGAAGCCAGACGAUCUACCCGUGGCCAGGGUGAAUCUCAUCGAAAGAUGAGAGGAGGCCCGAACCCGUGGGUGUCGCAAAACCCUGGGAUGAGCUGCGGGUAGGAGUGAAAAGCUUAUCGCGUCUGGGAAUAGCUGGUUCUCCCCGAAAUAGCUUUAGGGCUAGCGGCAGUAAAAAGUCUCCAGGAGGUAGAGCACUGAUAAGUUGGUAAAGGGCGAAAGCUCAGCCAACUUGUCAAACUCCGAAUUCCUGGAGAUGUUCCUGCUAGUCAGUCUAUGGGGGAUAAGCUCCAUGGACAAGAGGGGAACAACCCAGACUCCCAGCUAAGGCCCCUAAAUCCUGGCUAAGUAGGAAAGGCAGUGUUUUCCCUAUGACAACUAGGAGGUUGGCUUAGAAGCAGCCAUCCUUUAAAGAGUGCGUAACAGCUCACUAGUCGAGGGAAAAUGCGCCGAAACAUUUACGGGUUUAAGCCAGGUGCCGAAGCUGGAGACCCGUCACUUUGACGGGUGGUAGGGGAGCAUUCUCUGCGCGAUGAAGGCUUAUCCGCGAGGAGAGCUGGAGCGCAGAGAAGAGAGAAUGCCGGCAUGAGUAACCGCAAAUCAGCUGAGACCGCUGAUCGCCGUAAGGGCAAGGUUUCCUCGGCAAUGGAAAUCAGCCGAGGGUUAGGCGGGACCUAAGGCAAACCCGAAAGGGGUAGCCGAUGGAUAGCCGGUUAAUAUUCCGGCCCCACCUUUUGGUAUCCGAUGGGGUGACGAGGGAUAUAAGGAGAAGAGAGGUAGUGGUUACUCUUUCUCUCUGGAUUAGACUGGAGAGGGAGGAAAAUCCACCUCUCUGCCUUAAAUGGCAACAGUCGGCCAGAGAGAGAAGCCUCUUUCAGAGGCAACUUCUCCGAAGAGCCCUCCAAGAAAAGCCUCUAAGGGUUAAACCAAAAGGUGCCCGUACCGGAAUACCGACACAGGUGCCCGAGGCGAGUAGCCUAAGGCGAACGGGUGAUCCCUCCUCAAGGAACUCGGCAAAAAAGCGGGCGUAACUUCGGGAGAAGCCCUGCCCGAAGUGUGCUUUUAGCAUUACUUCGGGCCGCAGCGAAUGUCUCCCUGGCGACUGUUUACCAAAAACACAGCUCCCUGCUUAACUGGUUAACAGGAAGUAUAGGGGGUGACGCCUGACCGAUGCCGGAAGGUUAAAGCAUCAAGGUUAAUACUCGAGCAAGAUUCUUCUUGCUUGAGUAUUAGCUUAUGGUGCUAAGCCCCGGUCAAUGUCGGCCCUAACCCUGAGGGUCCGAAGGUAGCGCAAUUCCUUUCCGGGUAAGUUCCGGAGCGCAUGAAAGGCGUAACGACUGGGGAACUGUCUCGAGGAGGGGCCCGGUGAAAAUGCAAUCCCCGUGAAGAUGCGGGGUGCGGGCAACGGGACGAAAAGACCCCGGGAGCUUUACUGGGCUCACUCAUUGGUUUUGGUUAGGUGAUGCAGAGCGUAGUGGGGAGGCUGUGAAGCUCUGCUUUCGGGCAGAGUGGAGCCGUCAAUGGAACACCCACCUUCACCUAGCUGGAACCUAACCUCGUUUGCUAGCGAGGGACAGUGAGUGGGGGCCAGUUUCACUGGGGCGGUGGCCUCCUAAAAAGUAACGGAGGCGUCCAAAGGUCGGCUUGUCCUGGAUGGAAACCAGGAUGGAAGUGCAAAGGCAUAAGCCGGCCUGACUGCAAGGCUGACAAGCCGCGCAGAGGCGAAAGCCGGGCUUAGUGACCCGACGGCUCUUCUUGGAAAGGCCGGAGACAACGGAUAAAAGUUACCCCGGGGAUAACAGGCUGGUGUGGCCCGAGAGUCCACAUCGACGGCCACGCUCGGCACCUCGAUGUCGGCUCACCCUAGCGCGGGGCUGAAGAAGGUCCCAAGCGUCGGGCUGUUCGCCCGUUAAAAGGGUACGUGAGCUGGGUUCAGACCGUCGUGAGACAGGUCGGUCUAUAUCUGUUGCCCGCGUUUGGAGGCUUGAGGGGAGCUGGUCCUAGUACGAGAGGACCGGACUGGGGCAGCCUCUGGUGUACCAGUUGUCCCUCCAGGGGCAUAGCUGGGUAGCUAUGCUGCCAUCGGAUAAGCGCUGAAAGCAUCUAAGCGCGAAGCCGACCCCAAGAUUAGGCCUCCUUAGAGCCCCCAGGAAGAUCACCUGGUUGAUAGGCCCCUACUGGAAGCUCGGUAACGGGUUAAGGUUAGGGGUACUAAUGGGCCAAUGCCUCAGCU